GGCCUACGGGAGGCAGCAGUGGGGAAAUUUGCUCAAUGGGCGCAAACCUGAUGCAAGGACGCUGGGUGAGGGAUGAAAGCGUUAGGGUAGUAAUCCUCUUUCUGCAGGGAGGAGGGGGUAGUUUCGGGUUUUGGAGGAAGUGGACGCCAU
RNAcentral lists this ribosomal RNA (150 nucleotides) under uncultured bacterium. RNAcentral describes it as "partial 16S ribosomal RNA". It matches the Rfam family "Bacterial small subunit ribosomal RNA", at positions 335 to 500 of the family's 1533-position model. The record is from RNAcentral.